This is a long non-coding RNA of Aethalodelphis obliquidens (Pacific white-sided dolphin), 1048 nucleotides long. RefSeq lists it as uncharacterized. NCBI's taxonomy places the organism in Eukaryota, Metazoa, Chordata, Mammalia, Artiodactyla, Delphinidae. The record is from RefSeq and is a predicted model, not a curated record. The transcript has 3 exons.
AGAUGGAUUUUCUAAUAUUCACCUUUCUUCAAAAUGAUCCUGAAAGAUGAGUCAGAAGUCCCAUAACUGCUUUCCAUAGGGGGAACUGGGGCCCAGAAAGGUUAAGCAAAUUCCCUACCAGGGCAUCAGAGGAACUCUAGGUUCUCAAGUGGUUAUGGAAAUCUAGUCAAAACGGAAUGAAACUUCUGCUUCCUUAGGUUAUCUUUCCUGUCUGUUUAAAAUUAGAUCCUUUCUAUUUUAUCAGUUCCUAGGAGAUUGUUUUUGACACAUGUAAAUUUGGAGUCCCCUCUAAUUGGAACCAGUUUUCUCCAGGACACCCCAGUCAUUGGUUAUGAGGCCUCUCCUCCUCAUAUAAACAUAGCCCUCAGGACUUGCCUGGUGGUCCGGUGGGUGCACAAAAUUCUUGAGCCAUAUGAUGUACUUCCGUUUUCAUAGAGUGAAGUUAGAAGGACUCUAAGCGAUUUUUUUUGUCCAACCUCUCCACCUUACAGAUGAAGAAAUUGAAUUCAAGUAAGUUCUAACAUGUCUUAGAGCUAUUUCCCUGUCAUUGUGUAUAUAUUUACCUUAUUUUUUUUUUUAAAAAAAGCUGUGUAACAUUCUAUAAGGAUGCAUCUUAAUUUAUUUAGCCGUAUUUCUUUGAGGAAUAUUUUGGUUAUUUCCAAUUUUUUUCCACUAUUAUAAACAAUGCUGCAGUGAAUAACCUUGUACAGGUGUCUUAGUAUUUACUUAGUAUUUUUACAGGAUAGAUAACCAGAAACGAAGUAAAAAAUUUAGUAGAAAUAGUCCUCUUAGUUAAUUGUACCCAUGGCUGCACAUCCUUGCCAACACUGGAUAUUAUCAAACUUUUAAGUUGUUUUCUUUUUUUUUCUUUUUUUUUCUUAUUUUGGUCACGCCCUGAGGCUUGCAGGAUCUCAGUUCCCUGACCAGGGAUUGAACCUGGGCCAUGGCAGUGAAAGCGCUAAAUCCUAACCACCGGACGACCAGGGAACUCCCCGAAUUUAGUACGCGGGCCUCUCACUGUUGUGGCCUCUCCUGUUGCGGAGCACAG